RNAcentral lists this non-coding RNA (150 nucleotides) under unclassified sequences. The record is from RNAcentral.
GUUACUUCAGUCUGUGAAGAUAGGAGUAAUCGUCCUUACUGUGAGAAUCAGUGACAAACAUGUGGGGCUUAUAUCUUAGAUGUCCAUCUAAUUCAUGCUGUAGUUAGACAAGGCAACCAUCAAGUAUUAGUGCAGACGUUAAAACCAUGU